CUCACGGUGCAGCAGCAGCGAUGUCCCAAUGCCUCAGUGAGGCUUCUUAAAGCUGUGGCGAAGGUGAGUCUGGGCCCCGCCCCCUAGGCCUGGUGGAAUCAGCCGGAGGGGGGGCGGCCUUCCCCAACACUCACAGUGCAGCAGCAGCGAUGUCCCAAUGCCUCAGUGAGGCUUCUUAAAGCUGUGGCGAAGGUGAGUCUGGGCCCCGCCCCCUAGGCCUGGUGGAAUCAGCCUGAGGAGGGAGCGGCCUUCCCCAACACUCACGGUGCAGCAGCAGCGAUGUCCCAAUGCCUCAGUGAGGCUUCUUAAAGCUGUGGCGAAGGUGAGUCUGGGCCCCGCCCCCUAGGCCUGAUGGAAUCAGCCUGAAGAGGGAGCGGCCUUCCCCAACACUCACGGUGCAGCAGCAGCGAUGUCCCAGUGCCUCAGUGAGGCUUCUUAAAGCUGUGGCGAAGGUGAGUCUGGGCCCCGCCCCCUAGGCCUGGUGGAAUCAGCCUGAGGAGGGAGCGGCCUUCCCCAACACUCACAGUGCAGCAGCAGCGAUGUCCCAAUGCCUCAGUGAGGCUUCUUAAAGCUGUGGCGAAGGUGAGUCUGGGCCCCGCCCCCUAGGCCUGGUGGAAUCAGCCUGAAGAGGGAGCGGCCUUCCCCAACACUCACGGUGCAGCAGCAGCGAUGUCCCAGUGCCUCAGUGAGGCUUCUUAAAGCUGUGGCGAAGGUGAGUCUGGGCCCCGCCCCCUAGGCCUGGUGGAAUC
Non-coding RNA from Podarcis lilfordi (Lilford's wall lizard), 749 nucleotides. NCBI's taxonomy places the organism in Eukaryota, Metazoa, Chordata, Lepidosauria, Squamata, Lacertidae. The record is from the annotation of a GenBank genome assembly.